Molecule: long non-coding RNA, 458 nt
Filed under: Homo sapiens (human)
Lineage: Eukaryota; Metazoa; Chordata; Mammalia; Primates; Hominidae
Description: non-protein coding lnc-DMAC1-8:1
Source: RNAcentral
CGCAUUUCCCCUGCUUGCACUCAAUCCAUCCUGCUACCCCAUGAAGAAGGUGCCUGCUUCUCCUUUGCCUUCUACCACGAUUAUGCACCCAGAGCAACAGGCAGAUACUACACUGCACUAUGGGCUUCCCUCAUGGCCAUGACUCUUUCACUAUGUCCUGGCAGGCAUUGCCACCUGGGGUAUCGUUGUCAUGGCAGACCCCAAAGGGAAGGCCUACCGCGUUGUUUGAAAGUACCACCAGUGAAUCUGUCUUCUGUCUCUGUCCCUUUCCCCGUGACACACACAGCAGGCAUGGAAUUUAAUGGGUGUUCUGGACAGACACUUGUACAUGGACAGACAUCACUACUGUGGAUACUACAAGACUGAGAAGAAAAUCGUAUGUUGUCAUUCUCUGGCUAUGGAGUGUUUGUGGCCUUCACAGAUUUCACAGGAACCAAUAAAUCCCUCAGAGAAGUAAA